GUGCUUCGCCAGCACAUAGACUAACAUUGGAAGGAUACAGAGAAGAUUAGCAUGGCCCCUGCGCAAGGAUGGCACGCAAAUUCGUGAAGCGUUCCAUAUUAAA
Molecule: small nuclear RNA, 103 nt
Filed under: Echinops telfairi (small Madagascar hedgehog)
Lineage: Eukaryota; Metazoa; Chordata; Mammalia; Afrosoricida; Tenrecidae
Source: RNAcentral